AACGAACGCUGGCGGCAUGCCUAACACAUGCAAGUCGAACGAAACCUCCGGGACUUUUGGCCCACGGGGUCGUCACGCGUCGGAACCUUCCCUUAGGGUUAGAAUAACUCUCCGAAUGGGGUGCUAAUGGCGAAUAAUGUCUUCUGACCAAAGAUUUAUCGCCCUUGGUUGUUCCCGCGUUGGAUUAGCUAGUUAUUAGGGUAAAAGCCUCCCAAGGGGACAAUCCAUAGCUGGGUUGAGAGGCUGAUCAGCCACACUGGGACUGAGACACGGCCGAGACUCCUACGGGAGGCAGGAGUGGGGAAUAUUGGACCAUGGGGGAAAGCAUGAACGACUACUGCUGGGUGAGUGAUGUAGGUAGUAGGGUUGUAAAGCUUUUUUACCCAGGAUGAUAAUGACGGUACCGAGAGAAUAAGCUCCGGCUAACUACGUG
RNAcentral lists this ribosomal RNA (433 nucleotides) under uncultured bacterium. RNAcentral's name for it is "partial 16S ribosomal RNA". It matches the Rfam family "Bacterial small subunit ribosomal RNA", at positions 29 to 507 of the family's 1533-position model. The record is from RNAcentral.